RNAcentral lists this non-coding RNA (90 nucleotides) under Paramaledivibacter caminithermalis. Its description in RNAcentral is "Clostridium caminithermale Glycine sequence". It matches the Rfam family "Glycine riboswitch aptamer". From Rfam's summary of the family: This family represents the bacterial glycine riboswitch. Glycine riboswitches usually consist of two metabolite-binding aptamers domains with similar structures in tandem. Lineage: Bacteria; Bacillati; Bacillota; Clostridia; Peptostreptococcales; Caminicellaceae. RNAcentral also lists the same sequence under 1 other name. The record is from RNAcentral.
GGACAGGCCUCUGGAGAGACUCGUCUGAGCACCGAAGGGGAAAACCAAAACAUUGGUGAAACUCUCAGGUAAAAGGACAGGGGAUUUAGG